GAUGAACGCUAGCGGCAGGCCUAACACAUGCAAGUCGAGGGAGAAGCCCUUUCGGGGGCAGAAACCGGCGCACGGGUGCGUAACGCGUAUGCAACCUACCUUUCACAGGGGGAUAGCCCGAAGAAAUUUGGAUUAAUACCCCAUAAUAUUAUUGGAUGGCAUCAUUUGAUAAUUAAAACUGCGGUGGUGAAAGAUGGGCAUGCGUCCUAUUAGCUAGUUGGAGUGGUAACGGCACCCCAAGGCUACGAUAGGUAGGGGUCCUGAGAGGGAGAUCCCCCACACUGGUACUGAGACAGGGACCAGACACCUACGGGAGGCAGCAGUGAGGAAUAUUGGUCAAUGGUCGGAAGACUGAACCAGCCAUGCCGCGUGCAGGAAGAAUGCCUUAUGGGUUGUAAACUGCUUUUAUAUGGGAAGAAUAAGGCGUACGUGUACGUUGAUGACGGUGCCAUAUGAAUAAGCAUCGGCUAACUCCGUG
Molecule: ribosomal RNA, 478 nt
Filed under: uncultured bacterium
Lineage: Bacteria
Description: partial 16S ribosomal RNA
Rfam family: Bacterial small subunit ribosomal RNA
Source: RNAcentral